UUGUUUUCAAAUUUUAUUUUAUUUUACCAUUUCUAAAACUUCUCAUAUCUAUCCAAAUAUAAAUUAUUUGCCAUCAUUCACGCAAAAUUUAGAAGUAAGUUUUCCAUCACUUUGUUUUCAGCUCGGCUUGGUUUAGAAAUCGGCUCGUCUCCAAUCUAAAAUAACAGCUCGGUGACUUGCUAUAACGGCUCAGCUUCACGGCUAAAUUUGUUCCUUUUCUCGUGUCCCAAAACGCCGCGUUUUGGAAAAGUCUAAAAGCUCCUUUCAAGCAUUGCCCUUCAUUUUUCAAUUUCUUCUCUCUAAAAGCCAAAGUUCUCAAACGUCCUCUACUCCUUAAAGCAUCGGCACCGGGAAACAUACAAUACCCAGAUUCUGUCAGCCUUCCGCCGUGCCGUUCGUCUUAUGUUGCCGAUCGCAACCGUCGCUGGUGACCAGAAAUUAGCUAGGUAAUUAUCUUUCCAGAUUCGUCUUCUCCUCUGUUUCUUUAUUUUCUUCCUCUCUGAAAUUCCUAUUUCUCUGCUCUCCAGAAGCUUAGGAAUUCCUAGACCCAUAACCCAGGUUUUCGAAUUCCCACUGACCUCAGUCAAUGCUGCUGCCGUGCGCCGUCAUCAACAACGUGAGCCACGACCACCACUACCUUCUGUUGCUGCUCAAGGUUAGAAUGAAGCCACUGGAAAUCGCAUGUUGGCCUCUCUGUUUUUCACCACCAAAAAACUCCUCUCACCCUUUUUUCUGGUGUUUUUCUCCUCUUUUUGGGUUCAAACAGCGCCUCCUUCUUAGGUUGAUUGUGAGAUUUUUCGAUUGUGUUUCUAUUUGCUGAGAUUUGGUUGAAGCUGGGUUUUUUCGGUUUUGCUACUUCUGGGCUUUUUAUUGGUGAGUGUAUGUGCUCUGUGAGUGCUGGGUUGUGAAUCGGGGCUGUUGGUUUUGGUUAUUUGAUGGGAUGAGGAAGCUGGGUGAAUGUGGGUUUCUGUGGCUGGGUAAAUAUGAGUUUGAUGGCUAGGUAGUAAUGCAGUGGUGUUGUAUGAUUGCUGAAGAUCAAGGACGGCUUUGUUGAUGAGAGUUAAUCCCGACUAAUGGUGCUGGUAAUGGCAAGGUGGUGAUGACAACAGGAUGGCAGCUUGUGCUGAUGAAAUUGCUGGAUAUGGGUUCGGGAGAGUUUCGGCUGAAUUGCUGGUGUUAAGUGUAUUGUGGGCUGAAUUUGAUUAAUAUUUGUGGAGUAUGGGGAAUUGGCUGGCUAAUGGUGGCAAUGGUAGUGUCAAUGGCUGUUGUGGAGAUGGUGGUUUCGAGUCUAUAGGGAGAGCGUGAUGAAAUCGCUGCUGGAUAUGGCUGAGAACCAUUUCGCUCACUGCUCUUGCUUUUUUUCGACAUUGUUCCCCCUCUUUUGCCAGUCAUUCUGUCCUGAUAAAGGGAAUGAGUCCUCAUUUGAAUAGAACUCCAAUCUGCCGAAUUUACUUGAUUCUUAUCACUUAAAAAUUUGUUUAUCUCAAUCCAGGCUUGAUUUCAAAUUUCUUAACGGGUUUGAUCUUUAUCCAACUUCUGGUUUCACUUUUGAUUUCCAAAUUACAGAAAAAAGAUAAAUAAAGAAUAAGAAAUAAAAUAAAAAGAGUAAGGAAAAAUAAAUAAAUAAAAAUAUAAAAGACUAAACUAAUGUUG
This 1653-nucleotide long non-coding RNA is filed under the name Durio zibethinus. RNAcentral describes it as "long non-coding RNA (DZIB_LNC001966)". The record is from RNAcentral. Lineage: Eukaryota; Viridiplantae; Streptophyta; Magnoliopsida; Malvales; Malvaceae.